Molecule: ribosomal RNA, 931 nt
Filed under: Cortinarius aerugineoconicus
Lineage: Eukaryota; Fungi; Basidiomycota; Agaricomycetes; Agaricales; Cortinariaceae
Description: partial large subunit ribosomal RNA
Rfam family: Eukaryotic large subunit ribosomal RNA
Source: RNAcentral
CAUAUCAAUAAGCGGAGGAAAAGAAACUAACAAGGAUUCCCCUAGUAACUGCGAGUGAACCGGGAAAAGCUCAAAUUUAAAAUCUGGCAGUCUUUUGGCUGUCCGAGUUGUAAUCUAGAGAAGCGUUAUCCGCGCUGGACCGUGUACAAGUCUCCUGGAAUGGAGCGUCAUAGAGGGUGAGAAUCCCGUCUUUGACACGGACUGCCAGGGCUUUGUGAUGCGCUCUCAAAGAGUCGAGUUGUUUGGGAAUGCAGCUCAAAAUGGGUGGUAAAUUCCAUCUAAAGCUAAAUAUUGGCGAGAGACCGAUAGCGAACAAGUACCGUGAGGGAAAGAUGAAAAGAACUUUGGAAAGAGAGUUAAACAGUACGUGAAAUUGCUGAAAGGGAAACGCUUGAAGUCAGUCGCGUUGGCCAGGGAUCAACCUUGCUUUUGCUUGGUGUACUUUCUGGUUGACGGGUCAGCAUCAAUUUUGACCAUUGGAAAAAGAUUAGGGGAAUGUGGCAUCUUCGGAUGUGUUAUAGCCCUUGGUUGCAUACAAUGGUUGGGAUUGAGGAACUCAGCACGCCGCAAGGCCGGGUUUUUUAACCACGUACGUGCUUAGGAUGCUGGCAUAAUGUCUUUAAUCGACCCGUCUUGAAACACGGACCAAGGAGUCUAACAUACCUGCGAGUGUUUGGGUGGAAAACCCGAGCGCGCAAUGAAAGUGAAAGUUGAGAUCCCUGUCGUGGGGAGCAUCGACGCCCGGACCAGACCUUUUGUGACGGUUCCGCGGUAGAGCAUGUAUGUUGGGACCCGAAAGAUGGUGAACUAUGCCUGAAUAGGGUGAAGCCAGAGGAAACUCUGGUGGAGGCUCGUAGCGAUUCUGACGUGCAAAUCGAUCGUCAAAUUUGGGUAUAGGGGCGAAAGACUAAUCGAACCAUCUAGUAGCUGG